UACAGAGGGUGCGAGCGUUAAUCGGAAUUACUGGGCGUAAAGGGCGCGUAGGCGGCUAAGUAAGUUAGAUGUGAAAUCCCUGGGCUUAACCUCGGAAUUGCAUUUAAUACUGUUUAGCUAGAGUAAAGUAGAGGGAAGUGGAAUUUCCGGUGUAGCGGUGAAAUGCGUAGAUAUCGGAAAGAACAUCAGUGGCGAAGGCGGCUUUCUGGACUUAUACUGACGCUGAGGCGCGAAAGCAUGGGUAGCAAACAGG
This 253-nucleotide ribosomal RNA is filed under the name uncultured bacterium. RNAcentral's name for it is "partial 16S ribosomal RNA". It matches the Rfam family "Bacterial small subunit ribosomal RNA", at positions 524 to 776 of the family's 1533-position model. The record is from RNAcentral.